UUAAAGGUAAGUUGACGGGGCCCGGCACAAGCGGUGGAGCAUGUGGUUUAAUUUCGAAGCAACGCGAAGAACCUUACCAGGCCUUGACAUGCAGAGAACUUUCCAGAGAUGGAUUGUGCCUUCGGAACUCUGACACAGGUGCUGCAUGGCUGUCGUCAGCUCGUGUCGUGAGGUGUCGGGUUAAGUCCCAUAACGAGCGCAACCCUACCUUUAGUUGCCAUCAGGUAAUGCUGGGGACUCUAAAGGAACUGCCUACGCAAGUAGUGAGGAAGCGGGGAUGACGUCAAAUCAGCACGGCCCUUACGUCCAGGGCUACACACGUGCUACAAUGGCCGAUACAGAGGGCAGCUACCUGGUGACAGGAUGCAAAUCUCCAAAGUCGGUCUCAGUUCGGAUCGGAGUCUGCAACCCGACUCCGUGAAGUUGGAUUCGCUAGUAAUCGCGCAUCAGCCAUGGCGCGGUGAAUACGUUCCCGGGCCUU
Molecule: ribosomal RNA, 481 nt
Filed under: uncultured Sphingobacteriales bacterium
Lineage: Bacteria; Pseudomonadati; Bacteroidota; Sphingobacteriia; Sphingobacteriales
Description: bacterial SSU rRNA
Rfam family: Bacterial small subunit ribosomal RNA
Source: RNAcentral